RNAcentral lists this ribosomal RNA (461 nucleotides) under uncultured bacterium. Its description in RNAcentral is "bacterial SSU rRNA". It matches the Rfam family "Bacterial small subunit ribosomal RNA", at positions 330 to 792 of the family's 1533-position model. The record is from RNAcentral.
UCCAGACUCCUACGGGAGGCAGCAGUGGGGAAUAUUGCACAAUGGGGGGAACCCUGAUGCAGCGACGCCGCGUGGGUGAAGGAGCACCUCGGUGCGUAAAGCCCUCUCGGCAGGGGAGAAAAGCGAACAGGUUCGCCUGGACGGUACCUGGCUAAGAAGCCCCGGCUAACUACGUGCCAGCAGCCGCGGUAAUACGUAGGGGGCGAGCGUUAUCCGGAAUUACUGGGUGUAAAGGGAGCGUAGACGGCGAGGUAAGCCUGAAGUGGAAGCCCGCGGCCCAACCGCGGAACUGCUUUGGGAACUGUUUUGCUGGAGUAUGGGAGGGGUAAGCGGAAUUCCUGGUGUAGCGGUGAAAUGCGUAGAUAUCAGGAGGAACACCGGUGGCGAAGGCGGCUUACUGGACCAUAACUGACGUUGAGGCUCGAAAGCGUGGGGAGCGAACAGGAUUAGAUACCCCAGUA